This is a long non-coding RNA of Homo sapiens (human), 2454 nucleotides long. NCBI's taxonomy places the organism in Eukaryota, Metazoa, Chordata, Mammalia, Primates, Hominidae. The record is from Ensembl.
AGAACAACAAAGAACUGAUAUAAUUGCCACGAUGAAGCUGGGGCUGCAGGGAUUACCUCUGUGGAAUUAAGGGAAGCUGAUAAGAUUCUCCUCCUCCAUAAGGAUUAUUACAAGAGCGAUUGGGACUCGGGGAAAGAAAGCGGUUUGAACAGUAAGACUGCAAAGUCCUGAAAGAGGUUACUUGAAGCAAUUGGGAAAUCCUGAAAGCACCUAUCUGGAAGCUUUGGCUGAGACCAGGCCCAGAAGGACAGACAGACAGCACGUUCCUCUCCGGCUCUGUCCUUCUGCAGGGAAACUGAAGAUGGGUGUGUUUUGACCCAGAAUCCGCAGGGUUAGAGUUGAAUUUUACAAAUCACUUCAGGAUGCAGCGUUGAGACGGAAGACUUAGGAUUGGAGAAUUAAUUUUCUCUUCCUCCUGAGUAAAGCAGCUCUUCCUAAAGCUGAGAAUCUUAGCAGAAUGAAUAAACCAAAUGGCAGCAGUCCGGUAAGCACUGUAUGACCCUAAUCAUUCUGACCAUUUUGUACCACGUUUUACAGUGGCCUGAUUAAAUAGGAGAGAAUCCACGUGACAUGGUGCUCCUGAGAACAAAGCUAAAGUAUGCCAAUCAAACCAUGUGCCCUGGAGGAAAAACUUGGGGCACUCUCUUCUAGCAGCUAAUAAAAAAUAGGACAACACUUGAAUUCUACACGGAGAACUGUUUCUUACAUUUAGUUGAUACAGUAAGAAGUAACCAGCUACAGAGAAAUCACAAGAUCUGGAUUAGACCAGAACAUUUGUUUAUUAAAAUGUAAUUUAAGUAAUCAGAACCUUGUGAAUGUUUCAAACUGGAAACCCUAGAAAAUCUAAGUUUUCUCAUGAGAUAUUUUCUAGUAAACACUUCCAUUGCCCAGUCACACCUAUAAAGUGAGUAUGCACCUGUGUAUGAUCCCAUAAGAGCACUUUUAAAGUAACAAAACCACUAUAAUAUGAAGAGUAAUAUGAUAAUUUCCUUUUCAAACACUGAUUUUAUGAGAAGCGCUUGAUCCCAAAAUACCUGUAUGAGACCAGCUCACUCUUUCCUACAUAGAAUCAAUACUUUAUUGGCCUAUAAAUCUAAGAUGCAUAUAAUUCUUAAGUCUUCUUUUCAAACACUGCUAACUGUUAAAGUAUGUCCAUUAAAACUAAGGAAAAAUCAUUUUUAUAAAAUAUGGAUGAACCUAUGUCUAAACGAAGAUAUUCAUAAAGAUAGCACAAAAAAUGAGCCAAGACUCAAAUGAAUAAAAACUUCCCUGACUAUCCAAGUGCCAAGCAUUGUGUCUCUCAGCAUUAGAAUAUUAAGAAAUAGCCUUCCCGCAGUUGUAUGUACAGUGGUAUAAUUAGAAUAAAAUUGAAGUAUUCUUUGAAACAGAAGCCUUAGAAAAAUGAGUGAAGAACAUCAGUGGAUUUCCUAAACUGAUAUUCUGCGAAGCACUCUUCCAAAAACAUUAAUAAAUGUGCCACAAAAUAAAUGCCCAUGGUCAAACAAGUUUAGGAAAAACUCUGUUGUACAAAAUGCACUUUUCAUAUUAAAGGCACUGAGAAGUUCUGCAACAAAGAAUCAUGUUUAAUUGUAUUUAAUCCACCAUUUCCAAAAUUUGAAAUGAGAAAAUAUAAUACCCACCCCACUGCUGGCAUACCUUUUAUUAACCAAAAGAAUCAUUUCUUAGGAAAUUCUAAUUUGAGAAACAAUAGAUCGUUUAAAGAGAUCUGGUAUUUGCCUUUCUUACCCAAACUUUCAAAAGGAAAGGAAGUGUAUUGAAAAAAUAAUUUGAGGUUUUAUUGACUCAUGCUGUCAGUCGAAUGCUUUCUGUCCAUUUUUUUCACGAAUUGGGUAUAUUCCAGCCUCCUGGUCUCCCAGCCUUGGGGAGUGACCUUCCGUUUCCAGGGGAAAUACAGGUGCCCAGAACUUCCAGCAGGGGGCUCUGUCCGCUAGCACUGACUGUGAAGGACUCAAAGCUGGUUCAAGGUUAAGAUGGCUCAACAAGUGACGAGCCAGAAAUGUCAUCUGGCCACUAGGACGCCGCAUUAUGAAAGUGUGAUCAUGGUUCAAGAACGUUGCCAUGAGGAAAAUCUGUGCACGGAAUUACUAUUAUUAGGUUUUAUCGUGUGUGCAUUUUCAAACAUAGUAAGACAGCCCAAAAGGGAAAAAGUAGAACAAGCCAAAAAGUAUUUUAAAAAAAUAAUUAUCCAAUUAUAGGGCUCCUGUUGAAAAUAUUAAAAGAACUUAAAAGUUUCCCUACAUGGUUGACAACUCAAGUAUGCCCACUUUCUAUCAAAAAUAAUGCAGAAAAUACAAAAUGCGAGAGAAAAGUUGAAAAUAAAUGGAAAUAAACUACUUCCAUUGAAACAAGGGACAAAUAUAACUCUUCAGAAAUAAUGUCUGCAAAUGAGAGAAGCACAUUGUUUUGAGGAAGCUGUAUUUUGAUGAUGUUCAC